UUUUUGUUCUAUACAUGUUCUUUUAUGUCUAUUCUUAUAAGGUGAGUUUUUCAUUAUGCAUCUGAUGAUAUUAAAAAUAGCUAUCCCCUUUUCCAGUUAAAUUUCAGAUCUUGUCAUAUUUACCCUUUCUGAAUUUUACUUUAUCAAAUUUUUGGUAUAUUCAACAUUUUCCUCUAACCUGUUAUUUUUCUCACCGACGUUUAAAAAUACUCAAGUUUUUCCAUCUUGAAAAAUAAAUCUCCUUCAGCCACACUCUUCAGCCCACCCUGAAUUCUUUCUUAUAUACCAAAGGCAUUGAACCAAUUUUCCUAUAUUUCUACUUUAUGCUUCUUCUUCCUUUAUUCAUUUCAAUAUGGUUUCUAUCCCAUCAUCAAUUACCUAAUAAUGGUAAAAAGAAUGAAUUUUGUUGUUGUUGUUCUCAUUUUACCUUUCUUUCAUGCACAUUAAUCACUGUUAUAACUCCCUUUUCUUAGCUUCUAUGAUACUACUGCUGGUUUUACUGCCAUCUUUUGGAAUCUCCUUUUCAGUCCUCUCCAAAUGCUUAUAUUCAUUUACUCAGCCAUUGGAUAUGUUGGGACUUCUCAGGGUUUUGUCCUCUUCUCAAGCUCUAAUUUUGUCCUCUAGCAUCUAAAUUAUGCAUCUGGAUUUGAUGACUUCCCACACACAGAUGAAUUCUGAGUUUGUAUCUGAAACCCAGAACUCUCUUCUGAGCUCUAGGCUUCUAUCUAGAACUACCUUAGCAUCUCACUUUGAUAUUUGAAAAGCACUUCAAACUCAACAAUAUCUAAAACUCAACAUCUGAUCUCCCCGAAAUCUAAGUAAAAUGUUAAGUUUUAGAGGCAUCAUCUUUUUUUCUCUAUCUUUUUCAUCCUUUAUUUCAUUUAAGUUGUCAUUAUUUCUCACCUGGAGAAUUGUACUAGGUUUCUAAUUCAUGCUCCCUCCAUUUUGCCCUCUUCCAGUCUAUUCUCCACAGUUUAGACAGGGAGAUUUUUUUCAAUAUACAAAUCACAUCAUUCCUUCAUUUAAACAGAAGGCUUCCAUUGUUUUUUGUAUAUAACCCCAAAAUCUUCAAUAUGAUUCACAAUGUCCUCUGUGGUUUGGUACUAUUUACUCUAUCAGCCUCAUCCAGCACUGUGAUCUCACUUCCUAUGAACUCUGGACACACUAGCUUUCUUUUAGUCCUUAGACUGUAUUCUUUUAUCUCUGCUGUAAGACUUUUGUAUGUUUUUUUCCCUGCCUGAAAUUUUCUUUCCAAUCGUCCAUAUUUAGUUAAUACCUACAAUCCAUCAUAUCUCUGAUUAUUUCUGCAGGCUAAGUUUCCCUCACCCCUAGACCACUAGGAGCCCCUGUUACACUCUCAUGCUACAACAUGCCUUUUCUACAUGGUAGAUUCAAUUCACCACAAUGAAUUAAAUUCACCACAAUUUAAAUUGUAUAUUUGCUUUGUGUGAUUGAUUAAUGACUAUCUACACAUCUAGGUUAUAAACUGCUUACCCUGACCAUAUUCUGGCUCAGCCUUUUGAGCAAUGAGGAUACACUCAAAAAUAGUUUUUAAAAAAUGAUGGAAAAUAUUUGAAUGAAGCGUUUGAUAGGUUCAGUGUUAGAUGUAGUAGUUGAUUACUUUUAGUUUCCAUUUGUUGUCACAAAUUAUUUUUAGUUUUGGAUAGACUAGAAGAUAUUUUAGGAUCUCUACGCAUAUCAGCAGAAAAGAAAUGACACAUUAAAAUUAAGUAAUUUGAAGAAUGUUUAAUAAGAAACAAUUUACCAAGGUGUGGGAUGGGUACAGGAAAAUCACAAGAGUCACUGUUGUGCUUUGUAGCUAAUAACAGCAAUAAGAGUGGAUGGCAGAGGGAGAAUCACUUUCCUUCCUCUCUUCAGUAUCCUGCCUGUACUCUUCUUUGGCUAAAGCCACCCAGAAGCCAGAAGAAAAGAGAUGCUGUUGUUAUAGUUUGUACAGAUUAGCUUCUUUGAUCUGAAGGUAGGGGAUGAAUUUAAAGAAACAAAAAUAUCUAGCACAUCAUGAAAAGCUGAUUAUACCUAGAAGAACAAAGUCAUUUAUUUACUGGUUCAUUCAUUUUUACUUAUUUCUGUAGUAAAAGGCUGCAUUGCUUUCUGUCAAUACUUUAAUAGGUAAUGUUUCCCUUUGUGAACUGAGGUCUCCAAAAGUAAAUGUGAAAGAUGGAAAAAAUGUCAAGGAAUCCUGCCAACUAAACCUUUCAAAGUAGGUAUGGACAAAGUCAGUAAGAAAACUGUCUGGCCUUGUUUUCUAUAAUCUAUUCAUGGGUUGGAUGACUCAGCUCUUUCUCUAUCAUCAUCUUGUUUGUCAGAGAACUCUUUCCUCAUCUCAGCAGUGAGGAGAUAAGCAUAGAGAGGAAGAGGAAGGUUUGUUUUGUCUCUUUCUUCACUAUUCUCAUAUUUUAUUUAUUUAUUACUAUUUUUAAGAUUUUAUUUAUCUAUUUAUGAGAGACACAGAGAGAGAGAGAGAGAGAGAGAGAGAGAGAGGCAGAGACACAGGAAGAGGGAGAAGCAGGCUCCAUGCAGGGAGCCCCGAUGUGGGACUCAAUCCUGGGUCUCCAGGAUCAGGCCCUGGGCUGAAGGUGGUGCUAAACCACUGGGCCACCCAGGCUGCCCACUAUUCUCAUAUUUUAGAUAAAAUUGGUUUUCUCUCAUGUGCCAGUUGUUUUCUAAAACACUGCUAUGCUUGGUCUUUUAAUCCAAAUGAUGUUGAAACAGACUUUAUAGAUAACAUCCUCUCUUCUUCUUUCUGGAAAUGUAUAAAGGAAAUGUAGUAAUAGAAACCAAAAUAGCUGGAUACAUUUUAUUUUUUUAAAGGCCAUAUAUCUCAAAAUUGCCCUCAGAUUAAGUUCAUAAUUAUUUCCCAUGGUCAUACUAUAAAGUUAAUAAAAAAACGGCAAUAAGAUUAAUAUACAUUUCCUCAUACAUAUUUUGCUUCUUUAAAUUGUGCCCCACUGACAACCAAUUUCAUACAAUGAACAGAAAAAAAUCAGUUAACAAUUUUGAAGAUUGAACGAAUCUUGGAUUCCCCUUACCUAGCUACAUAUCCAGUGUUGUCUUUUCUUUAGUCCAUCCAAUCUUGAUACUUGUCAUGAUGACAUUACACUCAGAAGCAGUUCAUUCCAACCUGGAAUAUUUCGCAUUUUGUGUUCUUCCUUUCUCUCUUCAUCUUACUGUAUCCAGAAUG
This 3202-nucleotide long non-coding RNA is filed under the name Canis lupus familiaris (dog). RNAcentral describes it as "lncRNA (ENSCAFG00000052589.1)". The record is from RNAcentral. Lineage: Eukaryota; Metazoa; Chordata; Mammalia; Carnivora; Canidae.